RNAcentral lists this ribosomal RNA (200 nucleotides) under uncultured bacterium. Its description in RNAcentral is "partial 16S ribosomal RNA". It matches the Rfam family "Bacterial small subunit ribosomal RNA", at positions 524 to 722 of the family's 1533-position model. The record is from RNAcentral.
CACGUAGGGGGCAAGCGUUGUCCGGAUUUAUUGGGCGUAAAGGGCUCGUAGGCUGUUCAGUAAGUCAGGUGUGAAAACCCAAGGCUCAACCUUGGGACGCCACUUGAUACUGCUGUGACUAGAGUCCGGUAGAGGAGAUUGGAAUUCCUGGUGUAGCGGUGAAAUGCGCAGAUAUCAGGAGGAACACCAACGGCGAAGGC